This 492-nucleotide ribosomal RNA is filed under the name uncultured bacterium. Its description in RNAcentral is "partial 16S ribosomal RNA". It matches the Rfam family "Bacterial small subunit ribosomal RNA", at positions 29 to 507 of the family's 1533-position model. The record is from RNAcentral.
AGUGAACGCUGGCGGUAGGCCUAACACAUGCGAGUCGAACGGCAGCACAGUAAGAGCUUGCUCUUACGGGUGGCGAGUGGCGGACGGGUGAGGAAUACAUCGGAAUCUACUUUUUCGUGGGGGAUAACGUAGGGAAACUUACGCUAAUACCGCAUACGACCUACGGGUGAAAGCAGGGGAUCUUCGGACCUUGCGCGAUUGAAUGAGCCGAUGUCGGAUUAGCUAGUUGGCGGGGUAAAGGCCCACCAAGGCGACGAUCCGUAGCUGGUCUGAGAGGAUGGUCAGCCACACUGGAGCGGAGACACGGUCCAGACUCCUACGGGAGGCAGCAGUGGGGAAUAUUGGACAAUGGGCGCAAGCCUGAUCCAGCCAUACCGCGUGGGUGAAGAAGGCCUUCGGGUUGUAAAGCCCUUUUGUUGGGAAAGAAAAGCAGCAGGUUAAUACCCCGCUGUUCUGACGGUACCCAAAGAAUAAGCACCGGCUAACUUCGUG